Molecule: ribosomal RNA, 511 nt
Filed under: uncultured bacterium
Lineage: Bacteria
Description: bacterial SSU rRNA
Rfam family: Bacterial small subunit ribosomal RNA
Source: RNAcentral
UCUGGCUCAGGAUGAACGCUAGCGAUAGGCCUAACACAUGCAAGUCGAGGGGCAGCACAUGGAGUAGCAAUACGAUGGUGGCGACCGGCGACACGGGUGAGUAACACGUAUGCAACCUACCUUUAACAGGGGAAUAACCCGUUGAAAAACGGACUAAUACUCCAUAACACAGGGGUCCCGCAUGGGAAUAUUUGUUAAAGAUUAAUCGGUUGAAGAUGGGCAUGCGUUCCAUUAGCUUGUUGGUGAGGUAACGGCUCACCAAGGCCACGAUGGAUAGGGAACUGAGAGGUUUAUCCCCCACACUGGAACUGAGACACGGUCCAGACUCCUACGGGAGGCAGCAGUGAGGAAUAUUGGUCAAUGGAGGCAACUCUGAACCAGCCAAGUCCGCGUGAAGGAUGAAAGUCUUAUGGAUUGUAAACUUCUUUUGCAAGGGAAUAAAGUGGGGGACGUGUCCUCCUUUGCAUGUACCUUGCGAAUAAGGAUCGGCUAACUCCGUGCCAGCCGCCGC